This 221-nucleotide ribosomal RNA is filed under the name Rhopalothrix sp. JTL023. RNAcentral's name for it is "partial large subunit ribosomal RNA". The record is from RNAcentral. Lineage: Eukaryota; Metazoa; Arthropoda; Insecta; Hymenoptera; Formicidae.
GAAUUUUAUAUAAAUUUUUUUUUAUCAUUAAUUUUUAAAUGUUAAAAAAAUUUUUAUUUUACCGGGAGGAUAAUUAAAUUAUUAAAACUUUAACUAAAUAAAAUUACAUGAAUUAGUGAAAUAUAUAUAAAUUGAUUGGUUUACAAAAUUUGAAAGAAUUAAUUACCUUAGGCAUAGCAGCGUAAUAUUUUUAGGAAGUUCAUAUUUAUAAAAGUGAUUGC